Molecule: ribosomal RNA, 498 nt
Filed under: Salmonella enterica
Lineage: Bacteria; Pseudomonadati; Pseudomonadota; Gammaproteobacteria; Enterobacterales; Enterobacteriaceae
Also listed under: 2 other names
Description: partial 23S ribosomal RNA
Rfam family: Bacterial large subunit ribosomal RNA
Source: RNAcentral
UAUCAGAAGUGCGAAUGCUGACAUAAGUAACGAUAAAGCGGGUGAAAAGCCCGCUCGCCGGAAGACCAAGGGUUCCUGUCCAACGUUAAUCGGGGCAGGGUGAGUCGACCCCUAAGGCGAGGCCGAAAGGCGUAGUCGAUGGGAAACGGGUUAAUAUUCCCGUACUUGGUGUUACUGCGAAGGGGGGACGGAGAAGGCUAUGUUGGCCGGGCGACGGUUGUCCCGGUUUAAGCGUGUAGGUGUGUGUUCCAGGUAAAUCCGGUUCACUUUAACACUGAGGCGUGACGACGAGGCACUACGGUGCUGAAGCAACAAAUGCCCUGCUUCCAGGAAAAGCCUCUAAGCAUCAGGUAACAUCAAAUCGUACCCCAAACCGACACAGGUGGUCAGGUAGAGAAUACCAAGGCGCUUGAGAGAACUCGGGUGAAGGAACUAGGCAAAAUGGUGCCGUAACUUCGGGAGAAGGCACGCUGACAUGUAGGUGAAGUGAUUUACUCA